This 160-nucleotide unclassified non-coding RNA is filed under the name uncultured Dothideomycetes. RNAcentral describes it as "sequence contains ITS1". Lineage: Eukaryota; Fungi; Ascomycota; Dothideomycetes. The record is from RNAcentral.
CCGAGUACCGGAGCUCUCGGGUUCCUACUCCCACCCCAUGUUGACUUUAAUGUUGCUUUGGCGGACCGGUUAAGACCACCGGCCCCAGGCUGGACAGUGUCCGCCAGAGGAUUCUUAAAUACUCUUAAUUGUAAAUUCUGAGUUUUUGAAAAUUGAAUCA